UGCCUUAAUCCAAAUGCAGUCGCAUUGAAUGGUGGAUCGCAUGGUGGUUUUCUCGUUGCACACCUGUCUGCACAGUAUCCGGCUGUUUAUAAGGCAGUGGUUGCUCGUAAUCCUCCGGUGGAACUGUGCUCCAUGUUUGUAACGUCAGAUAUGCCAGACAAGCGCCCAUAUGAUGUCGGAUUGUUGUAUGCAGGUUGGUCAUCAGACAACUCUCUUUGGGAAAGGAUGAGAAAUGUAUCUCCAUUGAAGCUGGUUGACAGAAUUCAGGCCCCCACAUUGCUUUUAUCGGCAAAAAUGACCGUCGAGUGCCAUUUUCGCAAGGGAUAGCUUUCUAUCAUGCUUUGAAGGAGAGGAAUAUCGAAACUAAACUUUGCAUCUAUCCAGAUUGUCAUUCUCUUGCCUCUAUGCCUGUGGAGUUGGAUAGUACUAUUAAUGCCGCCCUAUGGAUCAUACAGCACCUUGAACCAUAACUAACACUACUUCUGUGGAGACAAGAUGAAGAAGAAUCAUGGCCCUGCUCUUAGCAUAGAAUAUUUUACACUUUAUUUUUAUUUUUUUGGAUCUAAAAAAGAAAAGUUUUGAGUACUUGAUGAUUUUUACUCUUAAUGACAGUACCUACAUAUUUUUGAUAAGGAAAUAUGUAAAUGGGUGAGCUUGUGCAAAAUUGGCCGAUGCCCAUUACUUUCCCCCAAUUAUACUGAUUAAUAAAGUCUAUACCCCCGUCUGAACUGUGUUUUUUAUACAUUUUUGUAAUCAAUCAAAGCAUGCAGCGAAAAAAUCGUACGUUUUCUUAAUAGCUUUAAAAUCAUUAUUCUUACUCCGAAGUGUGUUUGUUGCCAAUCUGGCAAGAUUGAAGGCGACUCUCAGGAUCACAUGGAUUGCAUUUUGCAAUAAGGAACUAAUAUUUCUGGCUCAUUUUAGAAACAACAUAUAUGCC
This 937-nucleotide long non-coding RNA is filed under the name Bemisia tabaci. Its description in RNAcentral is "lncRNA ENSSSA1NGG005583". The record is from RNAcentral. Lineage: Eukaryota; Metazoa; Arthropoda; Insecta; Hemiptera; Aleyrodidae.